This 468-nucleotide ribosomal RNA is filed under the name uncultured bacterium. Its description in RNAcentral is "partial 16S ribosomal RNA". It matches the Rfam family "Bacterial small subunit ribosomal RNA", at positions 28 to 507 of the family's 1533-position model. The record is from RNAcentral.
GACGAACGCUGGCGGCGUGCUUAACACAUGCAAGUCGAACGGAAAGGCCCUGCUUUUGUGGGGUGCUCGAGUGGCGAACGGGUGAGUAACACGUGAGUAACCUGCCCUUGACUUUGGGGUAACUUCAGGAAACUGGGGCUAAUACCGGAUAGGAGCUCCUGCUGCAUGGUGGGGGUUGGAAAGUUUCGGCGGUUGGGGAUGGACUCGCGGCUUAUCAGCUUGUUGGUGGGGUAGUGGCUUACCAAGGCUUUGACGGGUAGCCGGCCUGAGAGGGUGACCGGCCACAUUGGGACUGAGAUACGGCCCAGACUCCUACGGGAGGCGGCAGUGGGGAAUAUUGCACAAUGGGCGGAAGCCUGAUGCAGCAACGCCGCGUGCGGGAUGACGGCCUUCGGGUUGUAAACCGCUUUCGCCUGUGACGAAGCGUGAGUGACGGUAAUGGGUAAAGAAGCACCGGCUAACUACGUG